UUAAAUCAAAUUAUUGUACGUACACGAGACUAUUGUACAGCUACAACUAUAUUGUGUAAACUGAAUAGAGAUGGAAAUACAUAAUUAUUACUUAGGUAUAUUUGAUAUUUGAUUGAUGUAGAAUGGUGGUGUUACAAGAAACCAAGCUAAGAAAAAUAUUUUAAACAAUACCAUUCUCGAUGGAGCGAAACAUUAAUUAUCGCAGCAUACGUGGUUUUUCCUUUACACACUACAUGCGUUUCACAUGCCGGUCUUAUCCAAUCAAAAACGUUACUGCGACUUUUGGGGGAGGUGGACGAAUUCAAAGCGAGUUAUUUUCCGAGAAAUUAAUAUUCAUAUUUCGUAUAUUAUUAUUAUUAUUGGCGUCAUGGCAAUGACGUAAAUCAUACGCUAUAAAACAUAUAUUCGUAAUUUAUAAAACUGUCUAAUAUAAACGUUUAUACGUACAAUGUAGAACGCACGGCGAGGCUCGUUAAUCAUUUCGAUGGAAUCGCGGCAGUAUUAAUCGAGGAAUAGAGAUUUCAGAACAUUAUGCGUCGACAAUUGAUGCGAGAUGUAUAGCUUACUACACGAGGCAAACACAGAAAUUGUUGUGACGAUUAACCCGUCUUAAAUUCAGUGUUGAAUCCUCCAUCGGCAAAGGAGGUAAUCAGGUAGAAAAUGCUUCCCUUGAACUACAUUCACCAUCUCCUGAAAAAUACAACUGUCAAAAAUAUAAUAUAUUUAACGUAAAAUACUCAUUAGGUUUGUACCAUAUUUUAAUAAUAUUACCAAUGUGAAGUAAAUAUACAGAACUCAUAAAUUUUAUUGUUUUCAAUAAAAUAUAUAUGUAUAAUCUAUUUUUAUCAAUGUUUUAAAGAAGUAUUCCUACUAAUUACCAAAUUCGGAGUAAGGUACACUGGAGUAUUGCAUGAAAACAAGCGUCAAAAAGCGAAAAAGACUUAGUCCAGCAGUUUAUUGAAGUGUAAUCAAUUUGUUGUGUAGAAAAAAAGAAGUUAUAUUAUAUUUAUUUAAGAGUAAAGUAUGUUUUCUAAUAUGUAAAAUAAAAUAUUUAUAUAAUAUGACGUCAUGUAUCGAAUGGCAAAUUUACUGAAUCGAUUAAAAUAAUUAAUAAUAACAAUAAAAAUAUUGAUAAUACUAAAAUCUGUGACCGAUAUAAACAGAUGUGCUGCCCAGAAAAUUUGUCUGAAUUCAACACCGGUCUCGACGUAACUGCAGUACCGAUCGAAACACGUACCUAUCGUAUGCCAUGCCGUCUUACGCGUACACUACAUAAUGUUGAAGCGUCGUUUGAAAAUAAACUCAAUGGUCCACAUAUUGAGAGACACAUCGGACACCAAAAUAUUGACACGCUCUCACGAACGACGACGAAAUGAGUGAUCGAACGGGAUGACG
This is a long non-coding RNA of Aphis gossypii (cotton aphid), 1395 nucleotides long. RefSeq lists it as uncharacterized. The transcript has 3 exons. Lineage: Eukaryota; Metazoa; Arthropoda; Insecta; Hemiptera; Aphididae. The record is from RefSeq and is a predicted model, not a curated record.